GCCAUUAAUGGAUCUAUCCUCCAUGUACUUAUCUGAUUCUUUUUUAAUCCAGUUAUACUUUUGGCCUUCAUACCAUCCUGGCAACGAGUCCCACAGGUUGAUUGUCUGUUGUGUGAAGAAGUACUUCCUUAUGUUUGUUUUAAACCUGCUGGCUAUUAAUUUAAUUGGCUGACCCCCUUGUUCUUGUGUUUAUAUGAAGGGAUAAAUUCCCUAUUUACUGUCUCCACAGCAUUCAUGAUUUUAUAGACAUUUCUUGCCCCCCCCUCCCCCGUCAUUUCUUUUCUAAGCUGAACAGUAUUAGUUUUUUUUUUAAUCUCUCCUUAUGGAAGCUGUCCCAUGCCUUUUUAAUCAUUGUUGAACUUCUCUGCACCUUUUUCAAUUCUUAUAUCUUUUAUGAGAUGAGUUGACUAGAACUGCACACAGUAUUCAAUGUGUGGGCAUACCAUGGAUUUAUAUAGUGGCUUAUAUUUACUGUGUUGUCUAUCCCUUUCCUAAUAGUUCCUAACGUUAGCUUUUGUGACUGCUACUGCACGUUGAGUGGAUGUUUUCAGGGAACUUACCCAUGAUAUCCAGGAUCUUUCUUGAGUGAUCAUUUAUGAAUAUGUUGAACAGUACAGAUCCUUACUGAUCCAUAAGGACCUUCCCUCUAUCCCAGGACUACUUGUUUUUGCUUAAGAGCCUUUGAGGUGGGACCUCAGUGAAGGCCUUCUGAAAGUCGAAGUACACUAGAUUACCCUUGUCCACAUGCUUGAUACCCUUAAAGAAUUCUAAUGGGUCAAAGAAAUGAGUCACCCUCUCAUCCUACAGUGACUUAGGACAGAGUUAAAAACAUAUUGGCGAGGCAAAGAAAUGUACACGAUGUAUCAACCCCGCACUGGGCCAACAGGGACUGACCAAGUAUUAUGGGCCCAGGAGACCAGGCCCCCUCACCUCUGCUGCGCAUGGUCCAGGUGGAGGGGACAGAUAAAAGGAGGCAGCUCAGCUCAAUCGGCGUUGGUGAAAGAAGAGGAAGGAGGUGUGCUGCAGGCUCCUGCAGAGGAACCAUUGACUCUCCAUGGAUCUGGACUAUGCUGUGGAUGACCAGCUGACUGCAGAGACACCGAGCUGCUGCCAGCCGAGGAGAUGCCCAAGAUGGGCUUUAUGAUAAAUGUACCCUUCUUUAAGGAAGAGAAGUUUAACAAAAACAUGAAUUAUCUGAAUCUUCAGCAAAGAAAAAUACCCUAUUUAGAUGUUCAAGAACACAAAUUAUAGUUCAUAAAAGUUAUACACACAUGCCAGUGGGGUGCUCAGAUGAUCAUUUCUCCCAGGAAUAUCAACAAGUGCAUAAAUUAAUUCUGUCUU
Long non-coding RNA from Trachemys scripta elegans, 1341 nucleotides. RefSeq lists it as uncharacterized. The record is from RefSeq and is a predicted model, not a curated record. The transcript has 4 exons. Lineage: Eukaryota; Metazoa; Chordata; Testudines; Emydidae.